Molecule: long non-coding RNA, 633 nt
Organism: Aethalodelphis obliquidens (Pacific white-sided dolphin)
Lineage: Eukaryota; Metazoa; Chordata; Mammalia; Artiodactyla; Delphinidae
Exons: 3
Source: RefSeq, a predicted model, not a curated record
UUCUUAGCCUGUUCACUUUGCAAAAAAAUGAGAAAGCUUCUUCUGGAGAGAAUACCAAGAGUGUGAAUGAACAACCAUUUGAUUAAGAGAUCAUGGGUGGGAUUCAUGGACUUAAUUAGUCAUCUCACAGUAGAAGGCAUCAGUAGAGAUGGGCUUAUACCAGCAGAGACACUGCCAGUUUGAACUAGAGAAAAAGUGGGGCAGAGUGAAGGAACGCUAUUGGAUUCUUGGAUUCUAUAAGAUGGGACCACAUAGCUAUUCAGUUGUGAACAUGCACUAUUCCUCAAGAAAAGGGAAGAAUAGUACUGAAGGUGAUGUAGAGAUCAUCAGGGCUGCCACUCCCACCACAGGCCCAGGGGUAAGGCCAUUCCCUCAAAGGAUAGGCCUGCUGCUCUGGUUUCAGUGGGCAAGGAUGACCCAGUACCAGAGGGGUAGGGCCAAAGCAGCGAGCACCUUGGGUGGGACCACUCCAGAGAGCUGAAGGGGCAGGCGGCCCUGCAGAGACAUGAGGGUGAUGCUGCCACCCCAGUGGGCCUGGAGGGCAGAGUAUCGAGACAAAAGAUGAUUAUUCUUGAGCCUUAAGAUCGAGUGGAAUUUGCCUUGCUGUGGUUUGGGCUUGCUUUCCACUUUCUC